UACGUAGGGUGCGAGCGUUAAUCGGAAUUACUGGGCGUAAAGCGUGCGCAGGCGGCUUUGCAAGACAGAUGUGAAAUCCCCGGGCUCAACCUGGGAACUGCAUUUGUGACUGCAAAGCUAGAGUACAGCAGAGGGGGAUGGAAUUCCGCGUGUAGCAGUGAAAUGCGUAGAUAUGCGGAGGAACACCAAUGGCGAAGGCAAUCCCCUGGGCCUGUACUGACGCUCAUGCACGAAAGCGUGGGGAGCAAACAGG
RNAcentral lists this ribosomal RNA (253 nucleotides) under uncultured bacterium. RNAcentral describes it as "partial 16S ribosomal RNA". It matches the Rfam family "Bacterial small subunit ribosomal RNA", at positions 524 to 776 of the family's 1533-position model. The record is from RNAcentral.